Molecule: long non-coding RNA, 1286 nt
Filed under: Canis lupus familiaris (dog)
Lineage: Eukaryota; Metazoa; Chordata; Mammalia; Carnivora; Canidae
Description: lncRNA (ENSCAFG00805022372.1, ENSCAFG00845030463.1)
Source: RNAcentral
AUGCUUUCAUAAUGAGCUCCAGCCUGUCCAUUCCUUGCUUUGUGUCCCACACAGAACUCCCUGAACAGAGUCACCAAAUCCUCCCUCAGGUCAUGUUGCUCCCUAAUGCAAAUGAGUGACAGCUUCACCACCAGCUGAGGGAUCCUAGAGAGGAGCCCAGAAGAGUCUUGGUGGGCACCUCGGCUCCAUUUGGGCACAUAUACUCGGUGAUUCUCUGGUUCUCCUGUUCUGCCUCCAAGUCUGUCUACUUCCAUCCACUGUGUCAGUGUGACGAGCUCUCCUAUCUCUCCAUGGCUCUCCAUCACCUCUCUGAUGUGACUGUUUCCUCCUUUGUGCCAUCGGCAGCCUGGUCACACCCCCUCACUGCCUGUGUCCCAUCAUAUUGCAGGUGUUUGUUGUCAUGUCUGCUUUCCUGCAGAGCCAUGAGCUCCCCAUGGCUGGCCUUGGUCUCCCCUAUUUCUGCAUCACCCUCCUCUGGACCAUGGCCCUUAGAAGUGUGUGCUCAGUACUCUGGUGAGCUACUGAUUUUCUUUUUGAGCUACUGAUUUGAACCUGAGAAAUGCACUUUGGAUCAUGAGGGAGCCUGGUGUUGUGAUCCUCUGAUUACAAUGAAAACAUGUCCUUUUGAAUGGCAUGACCCUGAAGCCAAAGCCAGUGCUGGCCAGGGCAGGAGUGGGGUCACCCCUUCAGCUGCUGAGGCAAGCCCAGAGUGCUUACUGUCUACGAUAGCUCUGAUGCCUCCCUUACACACACGGUGUCCUUCAUACCCUGGGACCCCUAGUAUGGCUACCUCGACCCUCAUCUCUUUCAGGCAGCAGAACAAGGACCUGCAUCUUGGGGUCACUGUGCUGGGAAGGUCUCUCCUCCUGCACGGCUGGGACUUGGAGUCUUGAAUAGCCAAUUAGGUGUACCAUUCUCCUGUGAGCCCAAAUGGUCGGGAAACACUCCUCUCUGGGUCCAUCCGUGCUUGUCGUUCAUCUCCGAGCAACAGAGACUGAUCCACAAGUGGAAAAUGAUCACUGUGAAUAUAUUUCUGUCUCUGAAUAAAGAUCUGUUGGAGGUUGCUUUCAAAAAAAAUACCAAACUGAAAUGUGUUUGAAAAACUCAAGCAAGUCGAAAGUGUUUAGCCUGCAACAAGGAUGCUCAUGCUUCUCUGCUUAUUCCAAACACUGCCCCUCUUCUGUGAGAGUCUGGAGUUUCCACCACUUCAACUGUUGGAGUAAAGGUGGCCUUGGGUACAUGUGUUUUAAUUAAUUUGUUUUUUUUCUCUUACAAGAAUAUGAUCA